Molecule: RNA transcript, 3644 nt
Organism: Neofelis nebulosa (Clouded leopard)
Lineage: Eukaryota; Metazoa; Chordata; Mammalia; Carnivora; Felidae
Gene: ITGB1BP2
Gene name: integrin subunit beta 1 binding protein 2
Exons: 13
Source: RefSeq, a predicted model, not a curated record
AUACUAUGGCUUAAGUGGUUGACAAAGAUUGGCAGUACAUAGACGCAAUGAGGAUGACAAGAAAGCUACUGCUUUGAAAGAGGAAGAAAGUGAGCUGGAGGAACUGGGGUACCUUCAUUGAGCUGAGAGGGGUCUAAAAAUUGGGAUUCAUUUCUGAGCAGCUGCUGGCAUGUCAGAGGCUUGGAAUCGGCCUGGUAAAUCUAAAACUGUCUCAGCAGUGGUUAGCUGACCUCACCCAAGUUCCAAGCCUUACUCUGCUUGAUCCUUUUUUCUUGAGCCUCAGAGCUAAAAUGCUCCUGAGCUCCUUCUGAUUGGUUGAGAAGACCAAUUGAAGUUCCCUUGCCCAUGUUAGGAGGUGUACGCCUCCUGAACUAAAGAUAGAAACAGCUGGCCCUUCCAGGCAGCUAAAAGCCUCCGGACUAAGAGGUGUUUCCCACUCGGCAGCCAGACUCCUUGAAAUACCCUUUGAGUAAUUCUACCAACGUCCUCCAUGUCUCUAUUCUGCCAUAACAAAGGCUGUGGGCAGCACUUUGACCCCAAUGCAAACCUUCCUGAUUCCUGUUGCCAUCACCCUGGGGUCCCAAUCUUCCAUGAUGCACUUAAGGGUUGGUCCUGCUGCCGGAAGCGAACUGCAGAUUUCUCUGAGUUCUUAAACAUCAAGGGCUGUACUGUGGGACCACACUGUGCUGAGAAGCUCCCUGAGGCCCCUCAACCUGAGGUGCCUGCCACAAGCAGUUCACUUCAGGAGCAAAAACCUCUGAAUACGAUUCCAAAGUCAGCAGAGACUUUGCGUCGGGAGAGGCCCAAGUCAGAGUUACCUCCAAAGCUGCUUCCACUAAAUAUAUCCCAAGCCCUGGAAAUGGCAUUGGAACAGAAGGAAUUAGACCAAGAACCUGGAGCAGGACUUGACAGUAGUCUGAUCCGGAGUGGUUCCAGCUGCCAGAAUCCAGGAUGUGAUGCUGUUUACCAAAGCCCUGAGAGUGAUGCUACUCCAUGUACCUACCACCCAGGAGCACCUCGAUUCCAUGAGGGGAUGAAGUCCUGGAGCUGCUGUGGCAUCCAGACCCUGGAUUUUGGGGCAUUCCUGGCACAGCCAGGAUGCAGAGUUGGUAGGCAUGACUGGGGAAAGCAGCUGCCAGCAUCUUGCCGUCAUGAUUGGCACCAGACAGAUUCCUUAGUAGUGGUGACUGUGUAUGGCCAGAUUCCACUUCCUGCGUUCAAUUGGGUGAAGGCCAGUCAAACUGAGCUUCAUGUCCACAUUGUCUUUGAUGGUAACCGUGUGUUCCAAGCACAGAUGAAGCUCUGGGGGGAGACCAGCAACUACCCAGAAUUCCUGGAGAGGAUGAAGGUCUUGCUGGUCUACAAAGUGAUAACAUAUUUAACAUACCAUUGCAUCAGCUCCAGGAUUAAGGGAGAUUGUAUCCACUUGCUGAUGGAAUAAAGUCUCAUGUAUAGAAUGCCACGGUGCUCACCACUUCUACUCACAUUAUUUUACUUAAUCUUCACACCUGCCUUGUGAGCUCAGGUCAUGAUCUCACAGUCACAAGAUGGAACCCUGUGUCAGGCUCUGCCCUGACAGCGUGGAACCUGCUUAAGAUUCUCUCUCUCCCUCUCUGCCCAUCCCCUGCUUGCAUGUGCACGCAUACACUCUCUCUAUAAAUAUAUAAAUAAACAUUAAAAAAUAUUCUUGAUAUGUUCUGACUUAAAGGUGAAUGCCCCUUAUAUCUCAUCAUUGAGUAUGAUGAUUUUAGUUGUCACCUAUACUCUGUAUCAAGUUAUAAAUUCUCCUGUUCCUAGCCUACUGAGAAAAUAUUUUUAAGGUAUUACAAACACAAGUGAAAAAAUUCAAAUAGUACAAAAGGGUAUGUGAAGAGUUGCCAUCUCUGUUCCCCAGUUUCCCAGUUCCCUUAAUGAGAAGUAAUUCCUAUUAACAAUUUUUAUGUGAACUACCAGAGAUAAAUCAAUGCAAAUACAAGAAUAUAUGCAAAAAAAUAUAUAAGUUGAUGUUAUUUUUUUACACAAAGAGUGUCAUACUAUAAACACUUUCUAAACACUGAUUUCUUUUUUGUUGGUAAAUCAGCUGUCAGUUGUUUUGUUGUAGGUAAUCUAUCUUUCUAGCUCUGUUUUUUCCUACUUUAAUUAUGGAAUAUUUCAAACAUACAAGAGUAAAAGAGAAUAGUAUAGUAAAUCCCCAUGUACCUGUCACCCAGAUUCAUGGCCAGUCUUGUUUCAUCUAUAUUCCCCUAACCCUUGCUCUCCUAUCUGCACCACCAAGAUUAUUCUGAAACAAAUAUCAUACAUCAUAUUAUUUCAUUUUACCCAUAAAUAUUUUGGUAUGUAUCUCUAAAAUAUAAGGACUUUUCUUAAACGUUACAAUAAAACCACCACCUCUAAAAAAUUAACAAUUCUUGUUUUUGUCUUUUCAAAUUUUUAUUUAAAUUCCAGACAGUUAACACACAGUGCAAUAUUAGCUUCAGGAGUAGAAUUCAGUGAUUCAUCACUUACAUACAACACACAGUGCUCAUCAUAACAAGUGCCCUCCUCAAUACCCAUCACCCAUCUAGGCCAUCCCUCACCCACCUCCCUCUAUCAACCCUCAGUUUUUUCUCUAUCUUUAAGAGUCUCUUAUGGUUUGUUUCCCUCUCUCUUUUUUCUCCCCCCCAUAUGUUCAUCUCUUUUGUUUCUUAAAUUCCACAUAUGAGUGAAAUCAUACAGUAUUUGUCUUUCUCUGACUGACUUAAUUUUGCUUAGCACAAUAUACUCUAGUUUCAUCCACAUUGUUGCAAAUGGCAAGCUUUCAUUCUUUUUGAUGCCUGAGUAAUACUCCAUUGUGUAUAUAUAUACCACAUCUUCUUUGUCCAUUCAUCAGUCUAUGGAAAUUUGAGCUCUUUCCAUUGUUUGGCUAUUGUUGAUAAUGAAAAUUAACAAUUCUUUUAAUAUCAUCACAUGUGCAGUCACUAUUCACAUUGUCCUGGUUGUCUCAUGAACGUUUAUAUGUUUAGUUUGUUGUCAAGGAUUUUCAGGAUCCAAAUGAGGACUAUACACUGCAAUUGGUUAUGUUUCUUUUCUUUUAAAUUUUUUUUAACGUUUAUGUAUUUUUGAGGGACAGAGACAUAGCAUGAGUUGGGGAGGAGCAGAGAGAGGGAGACACAGAAUCCAAGCAGGCCCCAGGCUCCAAGCUGUCAGCACAGAGCCCGACAUGGGACUCAAACCCAUGAAUCGUGAGAUCGUGACCUGAGCCAAAGUCAGAGGCUUAACUGACUGGGCCACCUAGUCACCCUUGUAUUUAUUUAUUUUUUAAUGUUUUAUUUCUUUUUGGCAGAGAGAGAGGGAGACACAAAAUCUGAAGCAGGCUUCAGGCCCUAAGGUGUCAGCACAGAGCCCACACAGAGUUUGAACCCAUGAACUACGAUAUCAUGACCUGAGCCAAAAUCAGACGCUUAGACAACUGAGCCACCCAGGAGCCCAUGUUUUAUUUAUUUUUGAGGGAGACAGAGUGCGAGUGGGACAGAGAGAGAGAGGGAGACAGAGGAUCCUAAGCGGGCUCUGUUGACAGCAGUGAACCCAAUAUGGAGCUUGAACUCACAAACCACGAGAUCAUGACCUGAGCCGAAGUCGGAGGCCUAACUGACCGAGCCACCCAG